GCCUAUAGUCUAGUGGCUAAGGUACAUGGCUGAGAUCCCUGAGGUUGGUGGUUCAAGUCCCAGACUAGCCA
Non-coding RNA from Albula goreensis, 71 nucleotides. The record is from the annotation of a GenBank genome assembly. Lineage: Eukaryota; Metazoa; Chordata; Actinopteri; Albuliformes; Albulidae.